AGAUACCUGUAGUCCACGCCGUAAACGAUGUCGACUAGCCGUUGGGACCUUUAAGGACUUAGUGGCGCAGUUAACGCGAUAAGUCGACCGCCUGGGGAGUACGGCCGCAAGGUUAAAACUCAAAUGAAUUGACGGGGGCCCGCACAAGCGGUGGAGCAUGUGGUUUAAUUCGAUGCAACGCGAAGAACCUUACCUACCCUUGACAUCCAGAGAACUUGGCAGAGAUGCCUUGGUGCCUUCGGGAACUCUGAGACAGGUGCUGCAUGGCUGUCGUCAGCUCGUGUUGUGAAAUGUUGGGUUAAGUCCCGUAACGAGCGCAACCCUUGUCCUUAUUUGCCAGCACGUAAUGGUGGGAACUCUAAGGAGACUGCCGGUGACAAACCGGAGGAAGGUGGGGACGACGUCAAGUCAUCAUGGCCCUUACGGGUAGGGCUACACACGUGCUACAAUGGCCGGUACAAAGGGUUGCGAGAGCCGCGAGGCUGGAGCGAAUCCCAGAAAGCCGGCCUACAGUCCGGAUCGGAGUCUGCAACUCGACUCCGUGAAGUCGGAAUCGCUAGUAAUCGUGAAUCAGAAUGUCACGGUGAAUACGUUCCCGGGCACUUGUACACACCGCCCGUCACACCAUGGGAGUGGACUGCACCAGAAGUGGUUAGCUUAACCUUCGGGGGAGCGAUCCCCACGGUGUG
RNAcentral lists this ribosomal RNA (689 nucleotides) under Haererehalobacter sp. 338B. RNAcentral describes it as "bacterial SSU rRNA". It matches the Rfam family "Bacterial small subunit ribosomal RNA", at positions 780 to 1466 of the family's 1533-position model. The record is from RNAcentral. Lineage: Bacteria; Pseudomonadati; Pseudomonadota; Gammaproteobacteria.